RNAcentral lists this ribosomal RNA (1502 nucleotides) under Candidatus Liptonbacteria bacterium RIFOXYB1_FULL_36_10. Its description in RNAcentral is "bacterial SSU rRNA". It matches the Rfam family "Bacterial small subunit ribosomal RNA". Lineage: Bacteria; Candidatus Liptoniibacteriota. The record is from RNAcentral.
UAUUGAGGAUUUGAUCCUGGUCCAGGAUGAACGCUGGCGGCGUGGAUAAGGCAUGCAAGUCGUGCGAUUCCUCUCCGGUUUCGCAAGAAACUAAAGAGGGAUAGCGGCGAACGAGUUAGUAACACCUUGGUACGUACCUCUAAGUUGGACAUAGCCACUUGAAAGAGUGGGUAAUAUCCAAUAGUCUCCGACCUUGUGUCGGAGUAAAGAAGUAAUUCGCUUAGUGAGCGGCCUAGGUCCGAUCAGCUAGUUGGUAGGGUAACUGCCUACCAAGGCUAUGACCGGUAGGGGAGGUGAGAGCCUGUUCCCCAACGACGAAACUGAGACACGGUUCGUACUCCUACGGGAGGCAGCAGUCGAGAAUAUUCCACAAUGGGCGAAAGCCUGAUGGAGCGACGCCGCGUGCAGGAAGAAGGCCUUCGGGUUGUAAACUGCGGUAGCAGGGGAAAAACUUCGGUGAUUGUACCCUGCGGAAAGAGGUUGGUAACUACGUGCCAGCACCCGCGGUAAUACGUAGACCUCAAGCGUUAUCCGGAUUUAUUGGGCGUAAAGCGUGUGUAGGGGGUUUGAUAAGUCGGUGGUUAAAUCUUAAGGCCUAACCUUAAGCUCGCCUCCGAUACUGUCAAACUAGAGGGCAUUAGAGGCUAGCGGAACGCACGGUGUAGGGGUGAAAUCCGUUGAUAUCGUGCGGAACACCAGAGGCGAAGGCGGCUAGCUGGGACGUCCCUGACCCUGAGACACGAAAGCGUGGGGAGCAAAAAGGAUUAGAUACCCUUGUAGUCCACGCCCUAAACUAUGCCUGCUAGCUGUUUUGAGUAUCGACCCUCAAAGUGGCGAAGCUAACGCGUUAAGCAGGCCGCCUGGGAAGUACGGCCGCAAGGCUAAAACUCAAAGGAAUAGACGGGGACUCGCACAAGCGGUGGAGCAUGAGGUUUAAUUCGACAUUAAGCGAGGAACCUUACCAGGGCUUGAAAUCCCGACGAACUCCAGCAGAAACGUUGGAGGUCCGCAAGGACGGCGGGACAGGUGCUGCACGGUUGUCGUCAGCUCGUGUCUUGAGAUGUUCCCUUAAGUGGGGUAACGAGCGCAACCCCUGUCGUGUGUUAUAUGUAUCACGCGAGACUGCCCAGCCCUAAGUUCAGAUUUUAGAAAUCAAAUAUCGGAUGUCGGAUUUAUAUCCAAUAUCCGAUGUCUGAAAUCCAAUAUCCGAUUUUAGGGCUGGGAGGAAGGUGGGGAUGACGUCAAAUCAGCGUGGCCCUUUGAUGCCCUGGGCUACACUCAUGCUACAAUGGCCGUUACAAUGGGUUGCCAAGCCGCAAGGCGGAGCUAAUCCCACAAAAACGGCCCCAGUUCGGAUUGCAGGCUGCAACUCGCCUGCAUGAAGCCGGAAUCGCUAGUAAUCGCGUAUCAGCAAUGGCGCGGUGAAUACGUUCUCGAGUCCUGUACUCACUGCCCGUCAAGUCAGGGGAGCCGGGAAUACCUAGAGCCCAGCCCAAAGUUCG